RNAcentral lists this ribosomal RNA (567 nucleotides) under uncultured Glomeromycotina. RNAcentral describes it as "SSU rRNA". It matches the Rfam family "Eukaryotic small subunit ribosomal RNA", at positions 548 to 1114 of the family's 1831-position model. The record is from RNAcentral. Lineage: Eukaryota; Fungi; Glomeromycota.
UUGGAGGGCAAGUCUGGUGCCAGCAGCCGCGGUAAUUCCAGCUCCAAUAGCGUAUAUUAAAGUUGUUGCAGUUAAAAAGCUCGUAGUUGAACCUCGGGGUCUACCCAUCGGUCAGGCUUAAUUGUCUGUACUGGUGAGAUGGAUCUCUACCUUCUGAGGAACUUUCAUUUCAUUUAUUUGGUGUGAUGGGAAAUCAGGACUGUUACUUUGAAAAAAUUAGAGUGUUUAAAGCAGACUAUCGUCUGAAUACAUUAGCAUGGAAUAAUGAAAUAGGACGGACUGAUUCUAUUUCGUUGGUUUCUAGGAUCACCGUAAUGAUUAAUAGGGAUAGCUGGGGGCAUUAGUAUUCAAUUGUCAGAGGUGAAAUUCUUGGAUUUAUUGAAGACUAACUACUGCGAAAGCAUUUGCCAAGGAUGUUUUCAUUAAUCGAGAACGAAAGUUAGGGGAUCGAAGACGAUCAGAUACCGUCGUAGUCUUAACCAUAAACUAUGCCGACUAGGGAUCGGACGAAGUUAAUUUUAUAAUGACGCGUUCGGCACCUUACGGGAAACCAAAGUGUUUGGGUUC